GAUGAAGAACGUAGUGAAAUGCGAUACGUAAUGUGAAUUGCAGAUUUCAGUGAAUCAUCGAAUCUUUGAACGCACAUUGCGCCCGCUAGUAUUCUGGCGGGCAUGCCUGUUCGAGCGUCAUUUCAACCAUCAAGCCCUGUGCUUGUGUUGGAGCCCUGCGGCUGCCGCAGGCUCCCAAACCCAGUGGCGGGCUCGUCGUCGUACCGAGUGCAGUAAACAUACCAUGCUCAGGGCACGCGACGGGUGACCGGCCGUAAAACCCCCCCCCUUCUCAAGGUUGACCUCGGAUCAGGUAGGAAUACCCGCUGAACUUAAGCAUAUCAAUAAGCGGAGGA
RNAcentral lists this unclassified non-coding RNA (335 nucleotides) under soil metagenome. Its description in RNAcentral is "partial contains 5.8S ribosomal RNA, internal transcribed spacer 2, and large subunit ribosomal RNA". The stretch from base 1 to 120 matches the Rfam family "5.8S ribosomal RNA", at positions 35 to 154 of the family's 154-position model. The record is from RNAcentral.